This 2856-nucleotide unclassified non-coding RNA is filed under the name Hevea brasiliensis (rubber tree). Lineage: Eukaryota; Viridiplantae; Streptophyta; Magnoliopsida; Malpighiales; Euphorbiaceae. The record is from RNAcentral.
AAAAGCACCCCAACUCUUCUAAAUUAUGGAUACACCUAUAUUCUACCUCAUUCCAAUUUAUUGACGGCCUCUCUAUGCCCUCGAAACUUUCACCCUGGAAACAUGAGUUCGAAAAUCAUCUCACCAGCAAAGCUGCUACAAAAUAUAACAAUCACUCAAUUACGCAGAUCCUGUACAUCACCCCAUUUUUGACUUCAAAUCCAUGUACCAUUUGGAUUGAGGGAAUUUAAACAACAGUCGAUUUCACAGUCAAAAUCCAUAAAAUCGUUGAAAAUAGCUCAUUCACCUCAGGUUGAUAAAUGUGGAUUCCUUAACUAAUUCUUUUAUUACAAAAAUGCUCUUCUCUGUACCAAAGGAAAUUGCAUAAAUCCAUGAAAUUAAACAUUCAUAGUUUUUAAUUCCAUUUAUUUUGUCAAACUAUAUAAAUUUUAAAUUUCCUCAAUCCAAACAUGGCCGUAGUCACCAUCUGUUCAUAUAAAAUUAAUUAGACAACCAUGGUUGAGAUUAAAUCCGUCAUUUCAAAGUAAUAAGGAAUGUUAAUCAGUUUUUUUUUUUUUUUAAAUAAAAUUACUAGAGCAACAUUUAAAAUAAGUUUAACAAAAUAAUAAUGUCUGCCAAUAAAAUUGAUAAAGUGUAGAUAAAUUUGGCUGGGUAUUUAACGCAUCUAUUAGAAAAGCAGCAACUUUACAUAAUUUAUAGCAUUUCUCAUGUUUCAGUUUUUUUUAAUUAUUUUUUUUCUUUUGGGUAUGCGUGCGUGUGUUGUUUGUUGCGGGGUGGGGGGUGGGGGGGUUGUGGUUUGACACAUCAAAGAAAACAAGGAACAGUAUAACACAUAUCAGCAGAAAAGCUUCAUAAGAGAAAACUCUUUACGGAGCAUUUUGUAAAUUUCCUGUUUGGUUUGGGAGGCAGGGGGUUGGUCCGUAAGCAAUUAUGCAAGGAUGCUAACCUAAAGAAAGGAAAAUAGGCAACCGAUUGACCUUUAAUCAUCAAAGUUCAAAAUAAGCAAAUGUGACCAAGGCCGCCAUUCACCUUAAGAGGGUGAAUGCUACUACUACUUAAGAACCCCAGACAACAAGAGGCCUGAUACGUAAUUACGAACCAAGAAGAAGAGGGAAGGGACAUUUCAAGUAGUAGGAAAAUAAAUAAUUGUCAUGAAGAACUUCUCUUUCAUCAUUUCAUCCCUUCUUAUUUUUAUUUUUUAUAUAUUAGGUUGUGUGGGAAUAGAAACGUACCUUCACCAGCUUCAAUAACCUCCACAAAACGUUUGAGCACACCUUAAAGCAAGCAAACCCUAAAUUAAAUUAACAAAAGCUCCUCUGGGUAAACUUUUGUUUGCAAGCCUCCAAAGAUCAAGCUAAAAAAAUGAAGAGGGUUAGUAAGCAGCAGAUAUUAAAUAAAAGAUAUCCAUGAAGCUACUUCCAAAAGCGGACCACUCAAGUCAACUAGUAUCUGUAAUUCUGUAUCAACAAAACCAACAGAAGAAUCCAGAUUAGAUCAAAAUGUGCCUAUGUGAAUCCAAAUAAGUAUUCUGACCCCAUUAUUCUUUGGCAAAUAAAGAGAUGAUAAAGCAUGCUAGUAAUGAACUGAUACAAAUUACCUAAAAGGGAAAGUAAAGGGUACCAGAAGGAUCGCCUAAGCUGAGAUAUGCAACUUCUUAUACACAUUUGCCUCAAAUUGAGUCCUCUUGAUAAUUUCAGUGAUGUCUUUUUCGUUUAUAGUAAUGAUCGUCUUCGUCACCAUCCUCAUCUGACCCACUGACCAUCUGCCACCUUUCACGACUCAGCUCAUUAUUCAUAGACCUUGAAUUAUGCCUAGAAUGUCUUGAUCCAUGACUGGAAUCUCUCUCUUUCCAUUGUGCUUUAUGAUCACUGGAUAAGCUUUGUUGCAAACCAGAUUCUGAUUGGCUAUGAUGUUUCUGCUUGUCUCUUUUGCCUUCAGAACCAACUCUCUUUCUUUUAACAUCUUUUGUUUUACUACUUUGAUGUUGACGUUGACCGUGACUACGACUAUGACUAGAAUCAGCACUAAUGUGCACCAUUCCACCAUCAUGCUUCUUGGAGUUCCUAUGGCGGCACUUACGCCGCUCUUCACCGUGCCUGUUGGAGCUACUUGGCAUAUCUUCUACUUCUGAACUUGACCUUUCCAGUUCAUCAUCAAAAUUAGCAUAAUGCCGAUGUUUCCAAUUUGGCCUUUCAGUGCAGCUGUCCUUAGAGACACUCACACCGUCUUCCCUGUCUUGAUAAGAUCUGAGAUCAUGUGAUCUUUCUGUUUCUUUACGUCUCUUGUUAAACCUAUCAUCUUCUUCAUCAUCAUCAAAAGAUUGUCCCCUUCCCAAAUUAUUAUGUGAAACCUUCCGUCUCUUCUCAUCACCUUGAAGCUCCCAACAAUCUGAACGGUCUACAUGCCACUCUGCAUUGGGCCCUACUGGGCAUGCCAAACGCCCCACUCUUUUAGUAAAACCACCAUAGGGAGCCAUGCCACCAAACAUAGAUGGCAUAUAAGAAGGAACAGGAAAAGUUGUGGGUGGAACAAUGGUUGCAAAGGGAUUGCCAUAUGGGCUUAAAAGGGGCCUGAUUUGAGGAAAGGGACCAUUCCAGUAAGGUGAUAAAUAACCUGUCAUAGCUCCUGGAAACAUGGCAUUUCCUGUCUGAAGCAUAGGAUGUGGACUUGAAGCAGCUGGGCAGUCUCUUAUAAAAUGAUCUGGAGAUCCACACAUGUAACAUGUUCGGUCCCCCUUUCUGUGCCUUCCUGUCUCCAUAAAGCUUCUGUCUACACCUGCAGUGUUGACACAUGAUCCUCUCUUCUUCUUGAUGGUAGACUCAGCUUCCUCGUGCAGGGGCUGGUUCUCCCCUUGAA